CUAAGUAAAGACAUACAUUCAUUUAUUCAUUUCUCAGAUGUUGUCUAAUGCCUUCUGUGUGCCAGGUGCUGUUCUAGGCACUUGAAGAUACAAAGAGGAGCAAAACAGACAAAAACUCCUGCCCUCUUGGACCUCACUUGGUAAAGGGGAGACAGAGAGGAAACAGAAGAGACUGAAAAAUAUACAUCGUACAGUGGUGUCAGACGUUGGUAAGUGAAAGGAAGAAACAUCGAUUAGAAUAACUCCUCACCUUAGUGAGGAGGAUGCUAAGUUAGAUAAGAUUAUGAUGUGAUGUUUCUCUGAUCAGAUGACAAUUUAGUGGAGACCUCAACGAAGCAAGGGAACGAGACCUAUGGAUAUGUUGGGCGGUGUUUUUCAGGCAGGGAGCAGCUAGUGACAGAUCCUUGAGAAUGGAACACACCUGGAAGUUUCGAGCAAUGGCAAGUGCGCUGGCUAGAGCACCAAGACUGACCCGUCGAGUGGGUGAGGCAGUGAGGCCACAGGAUCUUACCAGAGGCGCUCAACAGUUUGGGUUGUCAAGACAAGUCAGGGGCAGCAACCAAUCAGCUCCUCGUAUUAAACAGCAUAUUUUGCUGAGCUGGAUUUGACUCCUGGUUGCUACAAAACAAAUCUAAGUUUAUAUCAGAGGUGACAAACUCCAUGCCCUGUCAUUUAUCCUUUUUAUAGCAUGGGCGACACCAAUGGUCAGCAAGUCUUGUUGAUGAGCAUGUGAAUCAAGUAGAGCAGAAAGCAUCCAAGUCUAGAGGUUUCCUCUGUCAAUAGGUAGAAAUCGUUUGUUUUAAUUAAAAGAGAACUAAUUUAAAAACAAAUUCCUCUGCUUUUGAUUACCCUAUAUAUUUUAAAAGAUACUUGUAAUCCCUGUAUGAACAGGGAUAACCACUGUUAAUACUGGAGUAUACAUUACUCUAGACACGAGCCUAAACAUAUGUAUAUAUUCACAUUUAUACAUGUAAUGAUUGCCAAGAGAAAAACAUAUUGAGAUUUUUACCGUGUAG
RNAcentral lists this long non-coding RNA (1016 nucleotides) under Felis catus (domestic cat). Its description in RNAcentral is "lncRNA (ENSFCAG00000042717.2)". The record is from RNAcentral. Lineage: Eukaryota; Metazoa; Chordata; Mammalia; Carnivora; Felidae.